GUCUACGGCCAUGCUACACUGAACACGCCCGAUCCUGUCUGAUCUCGGAAGCUAAGCAGGGUCGGGCCUGGUUAGUACUUGUAUAGGAGACCACCUAGGAAGACCAAGUGCUGUAGGCU
This 119-nucleotide ribosomal RNA is filed under the name Pteropus alecto (black flying fox). Lineage: Eukaryota; Metazoa; Chordata; Mammalia; Chiroptera; Pteropodidae. The record is from RNAcentral.